GGGGAGGGGCGCGGGGCCCGGAGCAGCUCAGCCUAUGACACUCGGCUGCGCCAGAGGGUGGCGGUGAAGAAGCUGUCGCGCCCCUUCCAGUCUCUGAUCCACGCGAGAAGGACAUACCGUGAGCUGCGGCUGCUCAAGCACCUGAAGCACGAGAACGUCAUCGGGCUGCUGGACGUGUUCACACCGGCCACCUCCAUCGAGGACUUCAGCGAAGUGUACCUGGUGACCACGCUGAUGGGCGCCGACCUGAAUAACAUCGUCAAGUGCCAGGCGCUGAGCGACGAGCACGUUCAGUUCCUCGUGUACCAGCUGCUGCGCGGGCUGAAGUACAUCCACUCGGCGGGGAUCAUCCACCGGGACCUGAAGCCCAGCAAUGUGGCCGUGAACGAGGACUGCGAGCUGCGGAUCCUGGACUUCGGGCUCGCGCGCCAGGCCGACGAGGAGAUGACUGGCUACGUGGCCACUCGCUGUGGACAUCUGGUCUGUGGGCUGCAUCAUGGCCGAGCUGCUCCAGGGAAAGGCCCUCUUCCCAGGAAAUGACUACAUCGACCAGCUGAAGCGCAUCAUGGAGGUGGUGGGCACACCCAGCCCUGAGGUUCUAGCGAAGAUAUCCUCGGAACACCUGUGGACCUCCUGGGAAGGAUGCUGGUGCUGGACAGUGACCAGAGGGUCAGCGCGGCCGAGGCCCUGUCGCACGCCUACUUCAGCCAGUACCACGACCCGGAGGAUGAGCCGGAAGCAGAGCCCUACGAUGAGAGCAUCGAGGCCAAGGAGCGCACGGCGGAGGAGUGGAAGGAGCUCACCUACCAGGAGGUCCUCAGCUUCAAGCCCCCGGAGCCACCGCGGCCACCUGGCAGCCUGGAGGUUGAGCAGUGAGGCGACCUCAAGGCAGGGCCUGAGCCGGCCUGCCCCCUCCCUCAGCCUGCCUCCCAGGACCCCUUGUCUAUGCGACACUCCUUGGGGCAAGUUUGCACGCUUGGAUGCUCAUGUGUGAGCCACCGACGUGGGAGUCUGGGCAGAGCUGUCAGGACUUCCUUGGUCCCCGACCCGCUCCCAGCAACCUGAGUCUCCCUCGGGACCUCACUGUGGGGGACCUGGGUGCCCUAGCACCCCCCGGGGAUGGUGUCUGUUUCCAGUCUCCUGAGCCGAAGAGGGCUGUCGCAUGGUCGGCGGGGCGGGGGGGGUGGUGCUUUGGGGCCCAGCCUCCUGGAGACAAAAGUCUGGGUGGUCAGAGCCGCUCAGCGGGAAGGGGCUGCCCUGCAAAGUGCUGAGCCGAAUCUUCCCUGGGGGGCAGGUGGGGACAGCUGCCUGGAGCCAUGUGUUCACCUGUGCUAUCUUGGGCACACCUGGGAUUCACAUGUCAAAGCAGAUGCAGGCAUGUGUGGACCUGAGGGCAUCCAAAGGCCAGCGACCAUGACCAGCAGGAGGCCCAAGUUGGGGCGGCAGUGGCAGUGGCUCACUAUUGCCCACCCCCCCAGGUCCUGGGGUGGGAGCCGUGCUGCCGGCCAGGGGCGAGGUGACCAGGGUCAGCCAUGUGAGCAAAAGGAUCCUGUCUCCUUGGGCAUGGGAUCUGCAGCAGGUUCCAGAGGCCCGAGGGCACCAUGCCAGCUGGGGGGCUGGCAGGCCUGGGGGCUCCAGCAUGGAGGACCCACACUCUGGUAUGGACUCGGAUCCUGGCCCCUGGCCCAGAGCUCCUGAAGAAAACCUCUGCCCGCUCUACGUCUGCAGGGCAGCCCUGUCUUGCCCCUCCAGGGUGCAGCUGACCUCCAGCCUCUGCUCGAAAUGCACUGGGGGUGCAGGUCCUCCCUCAAGGGGCUUCUCUGUCAGGCGGGCUGGGGGGUGACCCCUGGCCUUGCGGGAUCAGGGAGAUCUGAAUGUCAAGUGCCUGCCCCAGGGUUUCACAAUAAAAGGGGUCCUCUCUCGCUC
Molecule: long non-coding RNA, 1926 nt
Filed under: Sus scrofa (pig)
Lineage: Eukaryota; Metazoa; Chordata; Mammalia; Artiodactyla; Suidae
Description: lncRNA (ENSSSCG00050062259.1)
Source: RNAcentral